RNAcentral lists this small RNA (29 nucleotides) under Bombyx mori (domestic silkworm). RNAcentral describes it as "ovarian small RNA-24164". Lineage: Eukaryota; Metazoa; Arthropoda; Insecta; Lepidoptera; Bombycidae. The record is from RNAcentral.
UAUUCGGAUUGCCACCUCUUCCAAAUGUC